AUUAUUUUACUUUUGAAAAAUACCAAAAAUAUUUUAUUUAUUUCUUGACUUCUAAUCUUCAUUUUGGUUCUGUUUACUAAUGUUUGACCUUGAUUUCAUAUAUCUUUGGUCAAUGUAUGUUGGUUACCUCAUUUGAUUUCCAUUAAUGCACUUUAUUAUUCUUCAUCUUCUUCUUUUUCUUCUUUUUCUUUUUUUUUAUCAAUGAGUUAAAGAUUGGUGGUUAGCCUUGAUACAUGGGAGGUUUAACCUUCCUUGAUUCAAAUCUAAUUCAAC
RNAcentral lists this long non-coding RNA (273 nucleotides) under Lathyrus oleraceus (garden pea). RNAcentral's name for it is "Pisum sativum (pea) long non-coding RNA (PSAT_LNC007305)". Lineage: Eukaryota; Viridiplantae; Streptophyta; Magnoliopsida; Fabales; Fabaceae. The record is from RNAcentral.